UAAUAGCCGAGUGUGUCCGAUAAUUGACGAGUUCAACCGAAGAGCCGAACCCGGCCGAGAUUUACCCAACUGAGAUGAGCUUGAUCGAAAGGAACAACCGAGACGAGUUUAGCCGACUUUAGCCGAGUUUAUUUGAGCAUGUCCGAACGUAGCCGUGUUCAGCUGUACCAAGCCGAGCUCGGCCGAACUGAAAAACUUCUAUUUCGAAUGUGUAAAGUGACAAAGACUCUGUUGCAUUUCAGCACACGAGAAAGAACAGCAGCAAAAGCUCCACGUGAAGUUAAUUUAUCCCCUUGGAAUGGGCCAGCAUCACAAAAGGCAGAGACGGGCACUGCCGCCAUCCCUUCUUCCCUCCCGCUGCAGCUCUGGCCGACAGCGCCGCCGUGGACCCGGAGCGGAAGGUCUCCAAGCUCCCCGGCGAGUGCGGGUGGAUAACCCAUAAACAAGCCCCUGAACUCUGCAUCGAUGUGUCAAACACUUCCACAGAAAGGCAAGUCAGCAGUGAUUCUAGAGGAAAAAUUAGAGGUGAUGGCUUAUGAUCCAUGGGGAAUUACACUGGGAAUUAUGAAACUCAAACACAUGGAAUUGUGGAGGUGGAAUUCCAUUUUCAGCCUUGGGCACCUGGAGGAGGAGAGGUGUCCUCAUCCAUAGUGAGGAAAGCCUGGUGCCCCAGUGUGUCAGGUGCAGGGAAUGAGCAACAAGUUCCUUCUGCCCCUGCCCUCGCUCUUGGGGUGGCAACAGCACAAACUGAGCUGUGAGGAUGAUGAGGGCUCAGGGAAGCCCCAGGUGUGAGCAGCGAUGAUGAGGAGGGAGCGGGUCCUGCCCGGGGAUGUUUUAGGGGGAGGGUUUCCCUCAGCUCACUUAGGUAUGGAGCAGCUGGAGGAGAGGGGUUUAUGGUGGGCUCCCAGAGGUGUCUCAUGGAACGAUGUUGGGAGCAUCUCGUAGGGUCUGGGGGAUCACCUGGAUGCACUUGGAUGCAGAGCAUUGCUUAAAGGAGGUGUCGAGGGACAAACCUUUGUGCCAAGAAACAGCAGAUGAGCCAGCAUGGAUUUGCAAGGGGGGACUUUUCUUCUUCAGGCCAAGCUGAGCUGAAGCGAACCGAGUAUAUAACUGUAAGUAUAAAGAUGUUAAAAAUAGAUAUUAAAAAAUAUUGAAGAUAAAGGGCCUGCUUGGUUUUUAUUUAGUUAGAGACAGGGUUUUUAAAUAAAUAAGAAAAAUAAAAAUAAAUAAAAUAUAUA
This 1238-nucleotide long non-coding RNA is filed under the name Parus major (Great Tit). RNAcentral describes it as "lncRNA (ENSPMJG00000006062.1)". The record is from RNAcentral. Lineage: Eukaryota; Metazoa; Chordata; Aves; Passeriformes; Paridae.